This 395-nucleotide ribosomal RNA is filed under the name uncultured bacterium. Its description in RNAcentral is "partial 16S ribosomal RNA". It matches the Rfam family "Bacterial small subunit ribosomal RNA", at positions 338 to 730 of the family's 1533-position model. The record is from RNAcentral.
CCUACGGGUGGCUGCAGUGAGGAAUAUUGGUCAAUGGGCUCACGCCUGAACCAGCCAAGUCGCGUGAGGGAAGACUGCCCUAUGGGUUGUAAACCUCUUUUGUCAGGGAGCAACGCCGGCUACGUGUAGCCGGACUGAGAGUACCUGAAGAAAAAGCAUCGGCUAACUCCGUGCCAGCAGCCGCGGUAAUACGGGGGAUGCGAGCGUUAUCCGGAUUUAUUGGGUUAAAGGGGUGCGUAGGGGUGAUGCAAAUUCAGCGGUAAAAUAGCGGGCCCAAACCCCGCACGGCCGUUGAAACUGGUGGUCUUGAGGAGGCGAGAAGUAUGCGGAAUGUGUGGUGUAGCGGUGAAAUGCAUAGAUAUCACACAGAACUCCGAUUGCGAAGGCAGCAUACC